GGAUGUGAGGGCAAUCUGGCUGUGAAGUCUGUCAACCCAUUGAUCGCCAGGGUUGAUUCGGCUGAUCUGGCUGGCUAGGUAGGUGUCCCCUUCCUCCCUCACCACUCCAUGUGCGUCCCUCCCGAAGCUGCACAUUUGGUCAAAGAGGACAACAAUCCCUGAUAGAGGAGGACCAGUCUUCAGUCAAGGGUAUACGAGUAGCUGCACUCUCCUGCUAGAACCUCCCAACAAGCUCUCAAAUUAUCUCUAAUUUCUUAACUUUUCUAUAGUGAAUUAUGUGUUACCUUUGUAGUAAAAAAUUGUAAAUAACAAUAAAGAUUACUGCAGAA
Non-coding RNA from Pan troglodytes (chimpanzee), 329 nucleotides. It matches the Rfam family "7SK RNA". Rfam says of the family: 7SK was discovered as an abundant small nuclear RNA in the mid-70s but a possible function has only recently been suggested. NCBI's taxonomy places the organism in Eukaryota, Metazoa, Chordata, Mammalia, Primates, Hominidae. The record is from Rfam.